GUUUGAUCCUGGCUCAGGAUGAACCCUAGCGGCAGGCUUAACACAUGCAAGUCGAGGGGUAUAGUUCUUCGGAACUAGAGACCGGCGCACGGGUGCGUAACGCGUAUGCAAUCUACCUUUCACAGAGGGGUAGCCCAGAGAAAUUUGGAUUAAUACCUCAUAGUAUGUAUGAAUGGCAUCAUUUAUACAUUAAAGUCACAACGGUGAAAGAUGAGCAUGCGUCCCAUUAGCUAGAUGGUAAGGUAACGGCUUACCAUGGCAACGAUGGGUAGGGGUCCUGAGAGGGAGAUCCCCCACACUGGUACUGAGACACGGACCAGACUCCUACGGGAGGCAGCAGUGAGGAAUAUUGGACAAUGGGCGCAAGCCUGAUCCAGCCAUGCCGCGUGCAGGAUGACGGUCCCAUGGAUUGUAAACUGCUUUUGUACAGGAAGAAACACUGGUUCGUGAACCAGCUUGACGGUACUGUAAGAAUAAGGAUCGGCUAACUCCGUGCCAGCAGCCGCGGUAAUACGGAGGAUCCAAGCGUUAUCCGGAAUCAUUGGGUUUAAAGGGUCCGUAGGCGGUCAGAUAAGUCAGUGGUGAAAGCCCAUCGCUCAACGGUGGAACGGCCAUUGAUACUGUCUGACUUGAAUUAUUAGGAAGUAACUAGAAUAUGUAGUGUAGCGGUGAAAUGCUUAGAGAUUACAUGGAAUACCAAUUGCGAAGGCAGGUUACUACUAAUGGAUUGACGCUGAUGGACGAAAGCGUGGGUAGCGAACAGGAUUAGAUACCCUGGUAGUCCACGCCGUAAACGAUGGAUACUAGCUGUUGGGAGCAAUCUCAGUGGCUAAGCGAAAGUGAUAAGUAUCCCACCUGGGGAGUACGUUCGCAAGAAUGAAACUCAAAGGAAUUGACG
RNAcentral lists this ribosomal RNA (898 nucleotides) under uncultured bacterium. RNAcentral's name for it is "bacterial SSU rRNA". It matches the Rfam family "Bacterial small subunit ribosomal RNA", at positions 11 to 915 of the family's 1533-position model. The record is from RNAcentral.